GCGAUAGCACAGGAAUGUCUCCUGCAUUGUUGUCAAAUGUAUUUAAAUACGAAACAUGUCUUGUUUUGUUAUUAUUUUAACUUACUUAUUUCCAUACAUUUGAAAUCUAAACAAAUUCAAUCAGGAUAAAAGCACUUAUUCAAACAGAUUACGUAGGUCUACAAUGUGGACAAUAAGAGAGAACGUGAAUAGAUUCACGUGUUGUUUUCUGAUGUUAGUAUAUCAUGUUUAUGGAUCAGUCAUACCAUUACCAAGUACAAAAGACAAUGAUAUUAUCGGCAUAAAUUCUCAAAUGACAUAUUCGAAAAUAUUGUCAGUCAUAUCUACUAAACAUUUAAACACUAGGAAUAUUAGAGUAAGAGGCAAACGACAACUGGAUUCAACUUCUGCUGAAACUCUUCAACAAUACUGGUUAUGGAAGAAUUCAAACGGAUCUGGAAGCACACAGCUGCGAUACGGACGAUCCAUUGACGACAAUGCGAAAACACAACAUGAACGUCAAAACGGGAAAAGAAUCCAAAGAUCGAAGCAAAGCAGUUUGUCACGGAAUAAAAGGGAUACACGUUGGAAUUAUCACAAACUAAUGAAACUUAUUCGAAAAUUUUAUAAACGGAAAGGACAUAGGAAAAAUGGAAAGUUCCAGUUCCGGUUUGGAUAAACUGUGUUCGAACCUUCACAGAAAAUGAAAACUGAAUCUCAAAAAAUAUUUACAAUAUUCAUAUGCUCUAAAUGAUUGUAAAUUGCAGACUUUUCAACAGCUAUGAAUACAGGGUAGAAUCUCAAAUACUUGUAAAUAUGAUGUUAUUUAUUCAAAUUGUACAUGCAAGCAAUAUACACUUUUGUUGAAACUUGAAAAUGUUGAAUUAAAUUACGGAAAAUCUUGUAUAA
Molecule: long non-coding RNA, 888 nt
Organism: Mytilus californianus (California mussel)
Lineage: Eukaryota; Metazoa; Mollusca; Bivalvia; Mytilida; Mytilidae
Exons: 2
Source: RefSeq, a predicted model, not a curated record